Molecule: ribosomal RNA, 390 nt
Filed under: uncultured soil bacterium
Lineage: Bacteria
Description: bacterial SSU rRNA
Rfam family: Bacterial small subunit ribosomal RNA
Source: RNAcentral
AGAACGAACGCUGGCGGCAUGCCUAAUACAUGCAAGUCGAACGAACUCUUCGGAGUUAGUGGCGCACGGGUGCGUAACGCGUGGGAAUCUGCCCCUUGGUUCGGAAUAACAGUUGGAAACGACUGCUAAUACCGGAUGAUGACGAAAGUCCAAAGAUUUAUCGCCAAGGGAUGAGCCCGCGUAGGAUUAGCUAGUUGGUGAGGUAAAGGCUCACCAAGGCAACGAUCCUUAGCUGGUCUGAGAGGAUGAUCAGCCACACUGGGACUGAGACACGGCCCAGACUCCUACGGGAGGCAGCAAGUAGGGAAUAUUGGACAAGUGGGCGAAAGCCUGAUCCAGCAAUGCCGCGUGAGUGAUGAAGCCGUUAGGUUGUAAGCUUCGUUUACCGAG